This 450-nucleotide ribosomal RNA is filed under the name uncultured bacterium. RNAcentral describes it as "partial 16S ribosomal RNA". It matches the Rfam family "Bacterial small subunit ribosomal RNA", at positions 354 to 796 of the family's 1533-position model. The record is from RNAcentral.
GUGGGGAAUCUUCCGCAAUGGACGAAAGUCUGACGGAGCGACGCCGCGUGAGUGAAGAAGGCCUUCGGGUCGUAAAGCUCUGUCAUCAGGGACGAACGGCCGGUGGAGUGGAAAGCCACCGGAUUGACGGUACCUGAGAAGGAAGCCACGGCUAACUACGUGCCAGCAGCCGCGGUAAUACGUAGGUGGCAAGCGUUGUCCGGAAUUAUUGGGCGUAAAGCGCGCGCAGGUGGGAUCUUAAGUCUGUUCUGAAAGUUCGGAGCUUAACUCCGUGAUGGGAUGGAAACUGGGAUUCUUGAGUAUCGGAGAGGAAAGCGGAAUUCCCCGUGUAGCGGUGAAAUGCGUAGAUAUGGGGAGGAACACCAGUGGCGAAGGCGGCUUUCUGGACGAAAACUGACGCUGAGGCGCGAAAGCCAGGGGAGCGAACGGGAUUAGAUACCCGGGUAGUCC